Molecule: unclassified non-coding RNA, 210 nt
Filed under: Ascomycota sp.
Lineage: Eukaryota; Fungi; Ascomycota
Description: partial contains small subunit ribosomal RNA, internal transcribed spacer 1, and 5.8S ribosomal RNA
Rfam family: Eukaryotic small subunit ribosomal RNA (bases 1-47)
Source: RNAcentral
AAAGUCGUAACAAGGUCUCCGUAGGUGAACCUGCGGAGGGAUCAUUAACGAAUGGCCUCUUUUGGCCUUCAACCCUCAAACCAUGUGGAUCAUAAACCCGUGUUUCGGCGACUUCUCUCCGAGAGGUCGCCGCAUUUAUGCUUGAAUGCUUUUGCAUGUCGAUGUUUACAAAAAGAAACAAAACUUUCAACAAAGGAUCUCUUGGCUCUC